UAUUUUGUCAAAUAGCUUAUAACAUACAAGAACAACAUCAUAUUGCAUCAAUAAUUAUCAGAAGAAAAUUGAAGUAGCCAUCAAGAAAUACCAAAGUAAUUUAUGAGCUGCCAUCUGUUGAACAAGCUGGAAAUAUCAAGUGUAUUUGUUACGUCUUCUUUUCUUAAUUGGUGCAAGUUGAACAGAAAUUUUCUGAUACUGUUGGGCGCCAACUUGUCACUUGUGGAAGCUCUUCACCUACCUAUGUUCUUCCGCAUAAAAUCUCAGUUCUUUGCCGUAUUUGCAUCCUGCCAGGAAAGCAUCAUUCUUCAUCAACAAGUUUGCUCUAGUUGCAAUAUAGGAAUGGACUAUGCACGAAACAAAACAUGUUUUUUUACAUCAAAUGGGAAUUAUUGUUGUCCGUCCUGUUAAUGCAGUCAGUUGUUUCCAGUGGUCACCAAUCACUUUGUUCACCUUCACAAAUACCCUCAAACAAGGUAAAAGCUAGAUACACACACCUACACGUUUCCAUGUUCAUUAGUAUUAGGUUUCAUGCUUGCUUAGUCCUAAAACAGUCUCAGACCAAAUACUUUUAGAUUAGUGCAACAAGGCUGACAUGACAAACAGAUACAUUUAGAAUAAAUAGAAUGUAAAAAUCUCUUAAUACAGAGAGAUUAAAAAGCUAUAACACAGUUGGAUUCUGAAUACAAAAACUCCCAAGACAAGGACACAUUGCAAAUUAGCCUACUAUUAUGUCAUCCAAUUUAAUCAAAACAACGAACCUGACACAAGCAUUUUAAGAAACAACAUCAUGCCAAAUUUUCAGAGAAUGACUUGUAUCCACAAACAAAACAGUAAGUAGUGCUAAAGAAACCCUUUCAUGUCGCCUCAAUUAAAGGUAGUGAGCUAUUAUUCCAACAGAUUUCAUCAAAAGAAAUGACAGCUUUAUAGUAACGCUUAAUCAAAGACUAUAAAACUAUUGCAAUUACUUAAAUCACUGGUUACCAUGGUGAUCACAGGAACCCACAAAUUUCCUGCUGCAUACUAUAUUUAUACCCACAAAUUUCACCAUUGCAUUCCAAUUGAUGACCCUAUUUCCGGCUGCACCUCCCAUGGUGAUCACAGGUACCCACAAAUUUCAUUAGUGAAUUGGUUUGUAACCUGUGUGUUUGAUAUGAAUUGAGAAAACAAUGAUUAAUUUUCUGCGAAUUGCUAGGAUCUUGUUUGUAAAUUAGAACAUGAUUGGUUGUUUUUUUUACCAAUGAUUUAUUUAGUAUUCAGUGAUUGGAGUAAUGGUUUAAAAAAAGGAUUAUCAGAAGUUUUUCUCCUAUUCGUAGAUCAAUGGAUUCUUUUUUUCAUGUUUGAAAUUAGUUGAAAGAUCAACACCCUUAACCCAUGUGUUAUCCCUUUGAAUCAGACUGCUAGAAAUACCAGUAAAACCCAUAGCGAAUCCAUGUUCCCCAAAAGACUUGUUUUUUUACCAGUGAUUUAGCUGGACAAAGUCGUCUAAGAACAGAAAAGACUAGUGAUCAAACAAUAUCUUAUCAUCAUUCUUCUUCAAAAUCAAGGUGUUAAACCUAUACUUACUACAUUUUUUUCCCCUUCCAAAUACAAGUAAUGUGAAUCGGCCCUAGGGACUUCUUCAUCGGGUGAGGACUUUCAACCUCGUCCUCUCCAAAUUAAAAUUUUAAAUUAAAAUCUAUUUACACUAAAAGCAUGUCAUGAGUGCAAGACUGAAAGGUAUUCGUACCGGAUGAAGGGCCGACACUUGAGACUUGAGAGAUCUGAGAGUUCGAGAUGAAGGGCCGCCGGCGCCGAGAGUUCGAGACUUGAGGAUUGAGAGAUCUGAGACUCUGAGACAGUGAGAGGUCGAGAGGUCGAGAAGACGAGACUUGAGAGUGAGAGUUGAGAGAUCCCAGAUCUGAUCCUAGAGUUCGAGUCUUCCAGAAAAUUUAGUAAAGACUAGUAAAUUAGUAUACUAAUUAAUAUUGAAUGGGCUGACUCUGUG
This 1987-nucleotide long non-coding RNA is filed under the name Panax ginseng (ginseng). RNAcentral's name for it is "long non-coding RNA (PGIN_LNC015855)". The record is from RNAcentral. Lineage: Eukaryota; Viridiplantae; Streptophyta; Magnoliopsida; Apiales; Araliaceae.